Molecule: ribosomal RNA, 853 nt
Filed under: Escherichia coli
Lineage: Bacteria; Pseudomonadati; Pseudomonadota; Gammaproteobacteria; Enterobacterales; Enterobacteriaceae
Description: partial 23S ribosomal RNA
Rfam family: Bacterial large subunit ribosomal RNA
Source: RNAcentral
CUGAAUCAGUGUGUGUGUUAGUGGAAGCGUCUGGAAAGGCGUGCGAUACAGGGUGACAGCCCCGUACACAAAAAUGCACAUAUUGUGAGCUCGAUGAGUAGGGCGGGACACGUGGUAUCCUGUCUGAAUAUGGGGGGACCAUCCUCCAAGGCUAAAUACUCCUGACUGACCGAUAGUGAACCAGUACCGUGAGGGAAAGGCGAAAAGAACCCCGGCGAGGGGAGUGAAAAAGAACCUGAAACCGUGUACGUACAAGCAGUGGGAGCCUCUUAAUGGGGUGACUGCGUACCUUUUGUAUAAUGGGUCAGCGACUUAUAUUCUGUAGCAAGGUUAACCGAAUAGGGGAGCCGAAGGGAAACCGAGUCUUAACUGGGCGUUAAGUUGCAGGGUAUAGACCCGAAACCCGGUGAUCUAGCCAUGGGCAGGUUGAAGGUUGGGUAACACUAACUGGAGGACCGAACCGACUAAUGUUGAAAAAUUAGCGGAUGACUUGUGGCUGGGGGUGAAAGGCCAAUCAAACCGGGAGAUAGCUGGUUCUCCCCGAAAGCUAUUUAGGUAGCGCCUCGUGAAUUCAUCUCCGGGGGUAGAGCACUGUUUCGGCAAGGGGGUCAUCCCGACUUACCAACCCGAUGCAAACUGCGAAUACCGGAGAAUGUUAUCACGGGAGACACACGGCGGGUGCUAACGUCCGUCGUGAAGAGGGAAACAACCCAGACCGCCAGCUAAGGUCCCAAAGUCAUGGUUAAGUGGGAAACGAUGUGGGAAGGCCCAGACAGCCAGGAUGUUGGCUUAGAAGCAGCCAUCAUUUAAAGAAAGCGUAAUAGCUCACUGGUCGAGUCGGCCUGCGCGGAAG